This 272-nucleotide long non-coding RNA is filed under the name Ananas comosus (pineapple). RNAcentral's name for it is "long non-coding RNA (ACOM_LNC044741)". The record is from RNAcentral. Lineage: Eukaryota; Viridiplantae; Streptophyta; Magnoliopsida; Poales; Bromeliaceae.
CAAGAGGAUUUGAUAAACUGAAUCUCCUUCAGAGAGAGAGGGAAGGCGGGUUUCCGAUUCGCUAGAGGAGGCGAAGCUGGGCCGGGUGGAGUCGGAGUUGGAGAAUCAGGUUGAUCAGUAGCAGACGGAGGAGGAAGUUGAGCGGUUGAGAUCUGAAGGAGGGGUCGACCGCUUGGAGUCGGUGGAGGAGGUUGAUCGAAAGAAGGUUGGUUCGGGGAGGUCGAGGCCGACGGUGAUACGGGAGAGGAUGGUCUGGCCAACGUAGAGACGAG